RNAcentral lists this non-coding RNA (26 nucleotides) under Homo sapiens (human). Lineage: Eukaryota; Metazoa; Chordata; Mammalia; Primates; Hominidae. The record is from RNAcentral.
CAGCUGUCUGUGAGAUGUGUGGUAUC